Molecule: ribosomal RNA, 604 nt
Filed under: uncultured bacterium
Lineage: Bacteria
Description: bacterial SSU rRNA
Rfam family: Bacterial small subunit ribosomal RNA
Source: RNAcentral
GAAAACUCCGGUGGUACGGGAUGAGCCCGCGUCCGAUUAGCCAGUUGGCGGGGUAACGGCCCACCAAAGCGACGAUCGGUAGCCGGCCUGAGAGGGUGGACGGCCACAUUGGGACUGAGACACGGCCCAAACUCCUACGGGAGGCAGCAGUGGGGAAUAUUGCACAAUGGGGGAAACCCUGAUGCAGCGACGCCGCGUGAGUGAAGAAGCGCCUCGGCGCGUAAAGCUCUGUCAGCAGGAACGAUAAUGACGGUACCUGAAGAAGAAGCCCCGGCUAACUACGUGCCAGCAGCCGCGGUAAUACGUAGGGGGCAAGCGUUAUCCGGAUUUACUGGGUGUAAAGGGAGCGUAGACGGCGGGGCAAGUCUGGAGUGAAAGGCCGGGGCCCAACCCCGGGACCGCUCUGGAAACUGCCCGGCUGGAGUGCGGGAGAGGUAAGCGGAAUUCCUAGUGUAGCGGUGAAAUGCGUAGAUAUUAGGAGGAACACCAGCGGCGAAGGCGGCUUACUGGACCGUGACUGACGUUGAGGCUCGAAAGCGUGGGGAGCAAACAGGAUUAGAUACCCUGGUAGUCCACGCCGUAAACGAUGAUCACUAGGUGUCGG